UACGAAGGGGGCUAGCGUUGUUCGGAAUUACUGGGCGUAAAGCGCGUGUAGGCGGUUGCCCAAGUCGGGUGUGAAAGCCUUGAGCUCAACUCAAGAAAUGCACUCGGUACUGGGUGACUAGAGGACCGGAGAGGAUAGUGGAAUUCCCAGUGUAGUGGUGAAAUACGUAGAGAUUGGGAGGAACACCAGUGGCGAAGGCGGCUAUCUGGACGGUUUCUGACGCUAAGACGCGAAAGCGUGGGGAGCAAACAGG
Molecule: ribosomal RNA, 253 nt
Filed under: uncultured bacterium
Lineage: Bacteria
Description: partial 16S ribosomal RNA
Rfam family: Bacterial small subunit ribosomal RNA
Source: RNAcentral